RNAcentral lists this ribosomal RNA (301 nucleotides) under uncultured bacterium. RNAcentral's name for it is "partial 16S ribosomal RNA". It matches the Rfam family "Bacterial small subunit ribosomal RNA", at positions 509 to 807 of the family's 1533-position model. The record is from RNAcentral.
CAGUAGCCGCGGGAAUACGGAGGAUCCGAGCGUUAUCCGGAAUUAUUGGGUUUAAAGGGUGCGUAGGCGGACAGAUAAGUCAGUGGUGAAAGACGGUGGCUCAACCAUCGCAGUGCCGUUGAUACUGUUUGUCUUGAAUAUGGAUGAGGUAGGCGGAAUGUGGCAAGUAGCGGUGAAAUGCAUAGAUAUGCCACAGAGCACCGAUUGCGAAGGCAGCUUACCAAGGCAAUAUUGACGCUGAGGCACGAAAGCGUGGGGAUCGAACAGGAUUAGAUACCCGUGUAGUCCCUGUCUCUUAUAC